Molecule: ribosomal RNA, 252 nt
Filed under: [Clostridium] colinum
Lineage: Bacteria; Bacillati; Bacillota; Clostridia; Lachnospirales; Lachnospiraceae
Description: partial 16S ribosomal RNA
Rfam family: Bacterial small subunit ribosomal RNA
Source: RNAcentral
UACGUAUGGUUCAAGCGUUAUCCGGAUUUACUGGGUGUAAAGGGUGAGUAGGCGGUUAUGCAAGUCAUAUGUGAAAUGUCGGGGCUCAACUCCGGCCUGCAUAAGAAACUGUAUAACUAGAGUGCAGGAGAGGCAAGCGGAAUUCCUAGUGUAGCGGUGAAAUGCGUAGAUAUUAGGAAGAACACCGGUGGCGAAGGCGGCUUGCUGGACUGUUACUGACGCUGAGUCACGAAAGCGUGGGGAGCAAACAGG